CUGAAGUUGGCUUAGUCAACUGGUUGGACUCCUUUUCAGAGUGCUCUGGAGUUUGGUGAACUCUGCUGGCCUCUACAGAUGUACUCAGAAUUGUGCAGGCCUGCUAUUUCACACAGGUACAUAAGGCCACACUCACCUGAAGUGAGAGUGUCAGAUCUGGACCAGAGGAACUCUAUUGUAUGUGACAUCUGAAGCAGAGGAA
Anguilla rostrata (American eel) is the source of this 202-nucleotide long non-coding RNA. RefSeq lists it as uncharacterized. The transcript has 3 exons. NCBI's taxonomy places the organism in Eukaryota, Metazoa, Chordata, Actinopteri, Anguilliformes, Anguillidae. The record is from RefSeq and is a predicted model, not a curated record.